Molecule: long non-coding RNA, 7496 nt
Organism: Lagopus muta (rock ptarmigan)
Lineage: Eukaryota; Metazoa; Chordata; Aves; Galliformes; Phasianidae
Exons: 5
Source: RefSeq, a predicted model, not a curated record
UUAACAUCCCUGCUUGCUUUCAUGAACAAUGCUUUUGCCUUCAGCAGCUAUUCAUGCACAUGCCUGCAAGCCUGGUUUCACAAUGCAUUUCAAAAUCAUGGUGAUUCCACAUCAGCAUAGAGUUAGAAGAUCUGAGAGCUGCCGUGACCUCCUGGAGGAGUACCAUGGGUGGGUUAUUCAACAACAUGAGAAAGCGUAGGCAGCAUAAAUCAAUGGAGCAGAAACAGAACUGGAUAGUACGGAUAUAUUUCAAAACAAACAGCUCAACAGGAACUGGCUGGAGCCAGCACAGAACAAUGUGGAGAAACAGCUUAUGCUGAUUUAUUGCAGCUCCUUGAAGAGCAAGCCCUUACCACAAAUAACUCUUGAGUGGUCUAAUACAGGGAAAAGAGAUGAAGGAAACUUCAGGUGAGGUGGGAUGGGAGGAAUUAUUUGAAUCUUGCAACUGCUUAGCUCCAGACAAGUCCCUGAAAGUCAGCAUUUGAGACCAGCUGCAUUUUGUUUCAAGGAAGCUUUGAAGUAGUACUUUAGGGGACACAAGGCUACGACCAGAGCUGAAAUGUGUGUAACUUGAUAUUCGUAGGCAGGAUCUUCUCACCCCUUUUUUGGAUAAAACUGAAGAGAUCCUCGACUUACCAGGACACUCAUCCACUUUGAUACCAGAGAUGCAAUUUUCCCUGGUGGGCCGCUGCGGACCCAGUGCUCUCAAUGUGCAGGACAGAACAGCACUCUGCUCUGGAGAUGCUAUUUCCUCUUGCUACUGCCUUUCUACCGAGCAAGGCAAUCCUUGAAGGAAGAAUUAUGCCUUCUAUUUCCAAAAAGGCCUGUGACAUGUUUUUGACUGAACCAUCACCAGUCUCAUGCUGUUAUUUCAGGGAGUGGAUAGAACAGACGACUCAUGACAUGGCACUGAAACAGUCAGAAAAGGAAGAAUUCAGGUAAUUACCCUAACACCUGUGCAGGGUAGAAACGGCAGUGCACAUGUGGCACAAAUGACCAGACUGCUUCUUGCAUCAAAAACUGCACAAAAUACUUUAAUCAGGCAUGGUGGAAUUACUGGGGUAAAUCUUCCACUGGCUUGGAAGAGAUCUGUAAAUAAGGAGCAAGAAAGGUGAUGACACCAUACUUGUCCUGAGACAGUAUGCUAUUAUUACUUUUUAAUAAAGCCCUGACAGUACAAUCCCCACGUGUAGCAAUGGUCUAAAGCCAAACAGAAUACUGCAAUUCCCUGAAAUGCUCAGACCUAAUAGCAUGGUUUGUACCAGACAGUUCCACCAUAAUAUGCUCAGGAGUUCUUGAUUACUUCCUGCACUGAGGAAAUUGCCCUUCCUCACUUUUACCUUUUGGAUCCAGUUUUGUCUGCGGCUCUCUGUGUUAGCAGGAAUCUUAAUUGCUUAUCUUUCACAAACUAACUUAGAAAAGUCUAGUUCAGAUUUCACAGAUAAUGUGCAUCUCCAAAGAGCCAAUCAUUUCCUGCAUGACUUUCCAAAAGCCGGUGUGGAAUUAGGCCAAAACCGUAGAGACAGAAAUUCAAAGAUUGAUAUCUUAAUCAUAAAGUAGUUAUGUAUAUUUUAGCAUACUUUGAGAUUAAGCACAUUAAUUUCUAAUGAAUAAUCCUCUCGGCACAUCCCAGAGCUGCACUCCAGCCCUGCCUGGCUAUGAGGAGAACCUUUGCAGAGAGAGGCUUUGCAGUCUCUGUCAAAAUCAAUAUCAGGAACUAUUCCUCAGGGAAAUCAGUAAUGUCACAAGCAAAGCACUUGCCAAGGCUUUGAGCCUGUUCCAAUUAAUUUUGCAUUCCACAUUUGCCACAGACUCGAGGUAGGAAAGAAAGUUGAAUGUAAACAGCUAAAUGUUAUACACCAUCAUCUUGCUGAGGCAGUGACUGCUGGAACAUAAGCUUUAAAGACUGCCAUAUUUAUCCAUGCCUCUAACCAACAUAAAUCUGAAACACAGCUGAGGUGCAAUGAUUUACAAGUUAACGAAUGGAUAGAGACUUCUGCCUCAAUCGCCAAAUCCAGGUCUGUGUUAUUUCAUGGUGACACUGAGCUGCUACAUUUGUCCAGAAAACUUAGCUGCAGAGGCCUGCUACCUGAAACUCUUUCAUUUCCAGCCCCAGGGCAGCGUCACCCCUGGCAUGAGAGCUGCCACACCAGCAUCAAUAAGGAACUUCUUGCCACGAGUUCUGUCUUGUUGGUGUGCUCUCAAAAAUGGCCAGAUGUAACAGCUUUAAACAGCAGAAACUGAACAGGAACCUGGGCAACUUGGAGUGCAGCUGUUAAAAUAAGGGUGAGUAAGAACAAUGAAAUAAAGAAGUAUCACUUUAAGUACAGGCAAAGAAAGCUGAAGGCAUGUGGGAUGCCUUUUCUUUAGAAAAGCUUAAAAUAGAAAAGGAAAUCAAUACUAAUUUACAGUAUCUGGCAGUCACUGAACCAAAACAUACAUGUACACCUACUGCAAAUCAGAAAUAACAACACUUAUUUAAACCACAAGCUGUUAUUCUGCUGUGGGAACGCUGUGUUUUCUGUGGAUAGCUUCACCAGAAACUGAGAAGCACCACAUAUUUGGGACCAUUUCUAAAAAGCUUUCACAAUACCAAGAGCAAAUAUUGUCAAAACUACAGUUACUAACCCCAGCACUGCUAGGCUGGCUUCUGCUCCUCUGGACUGUUGGCAAAGAGAGUCAGAGCUGAUGGGGGAAAGCAGAAUGCUUUGCCUGUCCUCCUGAGCCUCUCUUCUGAUCACUUACAAGCCACCAUUUGUGGGAUCACAAGGCAAAAUGCAAAGAAGCCUGGAUGCUACAUUUGGCAUGUUGAGUGAUGGGACUACCUCUCCUAAAGCAGCAGUAAAAUCCAUGCACCAAGCAGAGCCCUGGUGGUCAGAACCCACGCCUUGGCAUCAUACAGUGCCUAUGAAAAACCAGGGGCUUUAGGGGAAGGAAUCGUGUUUAGCAAAUUAACAUUCCCCAAACACUGAAAGUGUAGUUGAAUAUAAACAAAGUGAAUCUGCUGAUUGAUUUUUUUUCCAUAGUUCUGGAAGAAAUGUGACCAGUAAGUAAAUAGCAUCAAUAAUAACAACAGCUGGCUUUUGUACAACGCUUCUCAUUCAUAAAACUGAACAUGCUUUUUUUUUUUUUUUUUUCUUAAGGGGUGAAGCUUUGAUUGUCACACAGCCAUCAAAUGAAAAGAUGAUCCAGAGGCCCCUCACCCACUGCCCUGCCCCUGGCAAGAACUGAUCCUCCCUACCCCUGACGUGUAAAGUGAGUACAGGAGGUGAAAGCCUUGCCCACGGCAACACAGCAUACCACUGGCGUGGGAUGGACACACAGUGUGAGGCCAAACCCAACCCAACAACAGCAGAGCCAAAAUCAUGGAAUCAUAGAAUCAUUAAGGUUGGAAAGACCACUAAGAUCAUCAAGUCCAACUGUCAUCCCAACCCCACCAUGCCCACUAACUCACAUCCCUCAGUGCCAUAUUUCUGUGGUUCCUGAACACCUCCAGGGACAGUGACUCCACCAUUCCCUGUGCAGCCUAUGCCAGUGCAUCACUACUCUUUUGGAGAAGAAAUUCUCCCUAAUUUCCAACCUGAAUGUCCCCAUGGGUUCCCUGAGCCCCAUUCUUAUGCUGCCUGCACAGGGCCACAAUGAACCUGUAAAGAGAGAGUCAAAUUUUAAAAAGCUUUCUGUGCCACAGAACCUGUGGGCAGCUCAUCACAUCAGAAGGACGAUCUGUGCAUUCUCAGGACAACCUGGUUUUAGCUGCUUGGUUCUCCUCACUAAAACCAUUUAGAAAGAACCAGAUGAUGGCUGAAGGCUGACCCUUGAAUAUGCUUUUAAUAAAAUGAAAUUAUGAAUGCUGCUCGGAAGACAGUUUUUAUUACUUCAAAUAUUGUAGACUAGCUCUCACAGGAGACUCGAAAAAAAAAUAAAUAAAGAAGAAACACCAUAGCCAUUAGGUCAGCUAGAUGUUAUCUCUAGAGCAAUUUAAUUACUUAGUGCUUCCUCAAUCACUCUUCACUUCUUUAGCCCAGCAAAUUAAGCCACUGCAGAUUUCUGGAUUUUGACAAGUGAAUCUGAAAUCUCACUGAGAUAAUUUUGAAAAAUAAAAGUAAAAAAUAUGUUGAAAAAUAACAUGAAAUCUAUCUUUCCAGCUGCUAAACUAGCUAACCUGCUGACACCUGGAGCAAACCAAGCCAACUUUCUGUUCUUAAAAGCGACAAAGAUUUAGGUUUUUUUCCAUCACACCACAGUUUUUAAGCUUGAUGGAAAGGAAACAUACAUAGCAAGUUUUUUUUUUUUGCAUAGGACAGAUAGAUGGCUAAAAAAAUCAGUAAUCCUUCUCAUCUAUUAAUUCUACAGUCAUUUGUACAUUUGUACAUUUUCUGCUUGCCCGUCUAUACACAAUAUUGGAUCAAAAGAUUACUACAUUAUUACCAUUGAAUGAUUGACUCUAGCUCAUCUGUCAAUACUUUCUUUUUUUUCUCUCUCUCCUUUAUUUCAGUAGAUUGCUGCUGAGACAAUUGACUUGUGGCUGAAAAGCAAGAACAACUGAUGAUCACUUAGUAGAUUUUUAAAAUCUCUUCUUCAACAUCAAGCACUCUUCAACCACAAAACCUCAAGGAAUAGUUUAUUUUCUCUGGCAACUUUCUUCUAGGGACUCCAGAUAUCACUGCUGUCACCUCACUAACAUCACUCACUUGGAUCAUUAUACCAAAUUUUAGAUUGGGAAAACAAAAGCACAGAGAAAUCAAAGGCCCAGUUAUUUAUAUCAUUGGUCUGUGUGCACAGUCUUAACUGUAUUUUUUGCCUAUUCUCUGCUCCUCAUUGACUUCUUUUUUCCACUAAAUUUUUUAGGUCUAGCAAUCUGCUUUUGCCAUCACUUUGUUAGCAUGGAUUCAGAAUCUCUGUCUUCAAAUGAUUUCCUACCAGACAGAAAAGAAGAUGGAUCCUGUCUGGAGAGCAAGUGUCUGUCACACAGAAGAGGAGUCUCAUUCCAAUAGAAGUACUCAUGAAGUAUUAUUACUCAAUGUCUUAAUGAUGUCAGAAACUUUGAUCUGAUAUUGCUACCUUCCUCCCUGUUGGAUAAUAAGCCAUAUUGGUAGAGAAUGCCAUAGUACUGGUACUGGUGGAGUAGGAACAGUGAUGUAUAAGGGUGUAAUUAAGUUAAGGGUAUAAUUGGGGGGUGUAACAAGGCAAGGGAUCUUAAGGAUUCUCAUGGGCAGGAUGCAAUAGUCUUUACUUAGAUAAAGUUUAAGCUAUGGAGUAUCAGCCAUUUGCAGUCAAAAUUGUGUCACAUCUCUUGGACAAGCUACAAUGGAAGGUUGUUAAACACUGAUGGCUUCCAUUCAAGUGGAAGCACAUUUGGACAAUGGGAUGCCUGGACCUAUGGAAGGCAGCUCAGCCAAAUGCGUCUGCAGGGACAGCUCUUAGAACAAUGUAAUUUCCCUAGAAGAACAAAGAGAUCAGAUGUUCCCGCUAGCUCUGAAAAGCACAAAGCUUCAGGGGAACUCACAAGGAAACCCAGGCCAACUCCUCUGCAACAUGGAUCUAGAAAACACAUUGCCUUCUAGCCAAUACAACUGUGCCAGCCAAAUCUUGUAGAUGUAUUCAUAGUGAUCUAAAAGAGAUGCCUCAGUGUAUGGUAACUGCUGAGUCACAGCCUAAACCACUGAUUGAGCAUCUGGGGAAAGGACCCAGUCAGCCCUGGGAGCACAAGUGAAGGCAAUUCAGCUGUGCGACUUGAAGGGUGGAGCCUGGCUGCUCCUCUCUUAGACCUCAUUUAAGGGCUGACUGCCACUGGAGGAUUUCUUCCUGGAGGUCCUUCCUUGGUGCAGCUUUCUCUUGUGAACUGAGACUCUUCUGAUACAGGAGAUUUGCAUUCCUGUGAGGACUGAAGAAAUCCUUUCCUACUGAAUGGAAGCUGUUGGGAAUACCUACAGCAAGAAAUGAAGCUUUCAUGUCUGUCAAAAAGUCCCUUACAGGUGUAGAGCUGAAAGAACUCCUACAAAAGCAGUGUUUGCUCAGGUCUGUUUGAGGAGAUAAAAGAGAAGCACCCACUCUGAACAGCAAUGUCUGCUGGUUGGCCCCAGCGUCCACCCAUUGUUUGCUCUCCAACCCCAGGCCAGCACCACAUUUUUUCCUUUGGCAGAUAUCCCAUUAUUUUCUGCCCGGGGGCUGGAUUGAGGAUGGAAAUCUCGAGGCUGGUGCAAAGGAUACAGAAAACAUCUGUGCCAAAAACUUUCCUCCUCCUGAAAGUCAGUGAAUAGAAGUAACUACAAAGCUCUCUGUGGACCAGGUCCAUGGAUCGUAGGUCCACAGAUCUUAAGCCAAGACCCAUGUCCUAGAACCUAGUAAGUGCCAUGGAGCUGUGUGGGGUGGCUCACAGCCCUGCUCUCUGGGAACAGGGUGGCAAUGUACGUUGCUUAGGUGCAGGCCACCUCCUGACCACAUGUCACUGCAUGGCUCAUUGGUUGGCAGGCACCAAACCCAGGGCAGGAAAGCUGGGUUUGUAUCCACCUCUCUGAGAUGGUUUGGAUGCAACCUAUUGCGUGGUGUGGGAAAGUGCUACUCCUGACUACUCAAAUUCCUUCUUGAACAACUUUUCUUGCAUUUGCCUAUCAGCUAUAAAAAGAAAAUACAAUUAAAAAAUUAACAUAGCUUUUCCCAUUGGCUUGCACAAAAACAACCAACCAACCAAUAUCCAGAUUUUGUAAAGUAGCUGCCUAUACAACUAGGGUAACACAAGUAUGUGUCAAGCCAGAAUCUGACAGCAGAUACUGGCAGCAAGAUGAACAGCCAUAAAUAACUAUGGGAGAAACACAGAUAGCUUUCUAUAGCAGAUCAUAAUCAGCACAUAAUCAGCACGGAAAGCCAUUACACUCAGGGGACUAUUUAAAUUAUGAAAAAGACAUUAUUUAAACGUCUCUAUCUGAAACCUUGUCUGUUUAUCACCAAGUUCAGUUUUGAACUCGCUGAGAGGUCCCAGUGAGAGCUUCCUAAAUCAUUUACUGACCAUAAAUAAAUUUUUAAAAAAGCAGUUAAAAAGCAACACAGUUGAACCAGCUCCUGCCUGCUGCCCUGAGAUUUCUGCUGUUACUGAUCAAACUGAACUCAGAUGCUGAUGCUGUAUUUGUUGACACUAAGGAAAUUAAAAAGAGCAGAUAUUGCGGAGUUGGCAUCCCAUCCCUCCCUGACUGCUGUUGGUUUGAAGGCACUUUGUUGCUGACAGGCAUCAGCCUCCUUCAAGUGCCUCUCUGGAUGUAGCACACACAAGUGCCAAGCGAGGCAGCUGUGCACAGGGCGAGAGUAACUGUGGUUCACAUCUGUAAGGUGAGCUUGAGCGAGAAAGGGUUGGGGAAUACAGUCAUUACAAUUGGAGCUCUCUCAGGUGACAGGCAUCUCUUAGUGGCUCUGCAAAGCUCAGUGCACAUAGCUAGGCAUCAGCAGCCAGGCUAUAAAACAUAGAGUCUUACUGAUAGUCAAAAAAGCGUGUUUGCUGAAAA